UACGUAGGGGGCAAGCGUUGUCCGGAAUCAUUGGGCGUGAAGCGCGCGUAGGCGGCCCGGUAAGUCCGUUGUAAAAGUCAAAGGCUCAACCUUUGAAAGCCGAUGGAUACUGCCGGGCUAGAAUCCGGAAGAGGCGAGUGGAAUUCCUGGUGUAGCGGUGGAAUGCGCAGAUAUCGGGAGGAACACCAGUGGCGAAGGCGAGUCUCUGGGAUGAUGCUGACGCUGAGGCGCGAAAGCCAGGGGAGCAAACGGG
This 253-nucleotide ribosomal RNA is filed under the name uncultured bacterium. RNAcentral describes it as "partial 16S ribosomal RNA". It matches the Rfam family "Bacterial small subunit ribosomal RNA", at positions 524 to 776 of the family's 1533-position model. The record is from RNAcentral.